Lemur catta (Ring-tailed lemur) is the source of this 566-nucleotide long non-coding RNA. RefSeq lists it as uncharacterized. The transcript has 3 exons. The record is from RefSeq and is a predicted model, not a curated record. NCBI's taxonomy places the organism in Eukaryota, Metazoa, Chordata, Mammalia, Primates, Lemuridae.
GCCACCUAGCGCCAGGCCCCAGGCCCCCAGAUUCUGUCCCAGGGCUGUGCCAUAGUUCCUGGUUGCUUGGUUGGAUGAACCUGGUGGCGGUGCCUGCUCUGGGCCUCGGCAGCUGAGCAGGAGGAAAGGGUGGGCUCAGCUGCCCCCUGCUGGCCACAUCAGGACCUGCAACCUGCGGGCAGUGACGGUAGCCACACCCCAGCCCACACUGCAGGCUCAAUGGAGACUAGAAGGCCGUCCGGACUUGCUGCUUAAAACUGAUGUCCUCAGACCCAAGCCUGGACCUGCCACCCCUGUUCUGGGAGAAGUUUGAUUUUACAAAACCACUGAAUACAUUGUUGGGCUCUCCCAAGGCUUUGGAAGGGGGUCCUGGCAAGGAGAGGGGCUGAAGCUUGACCUUCAUUUGUUCCACGAACCCCAGAGCCCUCCUGGACCACCGAGCCUGGGAGUCCCAGACAAACCACCAGAUUAGAAGCUUCCGCCAGUCUCCACCAGCUCCCAGCCUGGCCGGCCCUGAGGGCUGUAACCCAAUGCAUGUUUAAUAAAAACUCCUGGGCUGUCAUCAA